UCCCGGCUAGCUCAGCUGGUAGAGCGUCAGACUCUUAUACGGAGCCUCUGCGGAUGAUCGCAGAAUCAAAAAUCUGAAUGUCGUGGGUUCGAGCCCCACGUUGGGAG
RNAcentral lists this transfer RNA (107 nucleotides) under Pseudozyma flocculosa. It matches the Rfam family "tRNA". From Rfam's summary of the family: Transfer RNA (tRNA) molecules are approximately 80 nucleotides in length. Their secondary structure includes four short double-helical elements and three loops (D, anti-codon, and T loops). RNAcentral also lists the same sequence under 1 other name. Lineage: Eukaryota; Fungi; Basidiomycota; Ustilaginomycetes; Ustilaginales; Ustilaginaceae. The record is from Rfam by way of RNAcentral.